RNAcentral lists this ribosomal RNA (253 nucleotides) under uncultured bacterium. RNAcentral's name for it is "partial 16S ribosomal RNA". It matches the Rfam family "Bacterial small subunit ribosomal RNA", at positions 524 to 776 of the family's 1533-position model. The record is from RNAcentral.
UACGAGUGGUGCAAGCGUUGUUCGGAAUCACUGGGCAUAAAGAGCACGUAGGUGGCGGCGUAAGUCAUGGGUGAAAUCCCCCGGCUCAACCGGGGAACCGCCUGUGAGACUGCGUUGCUAGAGGGUGGCAGGGGGAGACGGAAUUCCAGGUGGAGCGGUGAAAUGCGUAGAUAUCUGGAGGAACGCCGGAGGCGAAAGCGGUCUCCUGGGCCACAACUGACGCUGAGGUGCGAAAGCGUGGGGAGCGAACAGG